AGUUACCGCAGGGACUUAAUUAAACAGCCAGCACAGGUGUGCAGUCGGUUGAGCUCUUCUCCCGUCUUACACAAUUACAUGACAAGACUCGGCUUACAUGAAAAUGUAAAAUCGAACUGGCUUUCAAGUUCAACAUAUGUUUCUCGUCAGAAUGAAGGUACCAGAGGAGGAAUUAAUGAGCGAUAUAUUGAAGCGGCUGACGGGUGAGUCUGCGCUCCCUUUGUACAGCAACGUGGAAAAGUUCAAACGAGGGAAGGAUGGCUUGUACUUCGUCGCGGAGGACUUCAAUGAAACCGUGAAAAAAAGGGAAUUGGUCAACGCAAAGGAGCGACUGAGAAUCAGGAACUUGAACACCAUGUUCUCACGCUUAAAGCGCAUGGUUCCACUGAUGCGACCAGAUCGGAAACCAAGUAAAGUGGACACACUUAAAGCUGCGACUGAAUACAUUAGAUUGCUUGUUGCAGUUCUGCAGGAUGCUGAUAGUGAUAAUGGCAGUGGGACUGAUUUCCUAAAGAAUGCAAUCACUUAUGGCCAGACUGAAGGCUUCGGUAGUGACCUGUGGAGGAUGGAUGACUUGCUGAACAUGACGGAGGAGCACAUGGAUGAUGGGUUCACUUUGCCCCCAGAACCAGUACCAGAGGGUGGAGACAUGAGCAGACUGGUGUUGCAACAUUGUGUGAUGCCCUCGUACCAGUUCAUCAUCCAAGUAGCCUCUGAUCAGAGCGCGAUGUCUCAACCCCUCUGAGUUGUCAAGAGCGCAUACCUUGGACCAAUACUGGAAGUCUGCCAGGUGUUUUUUUUUUAUGCAUAAAUAUCAAUCAGCAAGCACAGAAAAAAAGAGCCCAAUGGUUUGAAGAAAAGGAUCUUUCUUGAAGAAAAUACAAUUUUACCCAUCUUAUUUAAUUUCGCUUUAGAAAUUUACAUUUUGUGUUUGAGUCGAUAUAUGUGUGCUUUUAUUUUCAUUCAACAAGCAGGAUCCUUGGCAGCCAUUAAAUAAAAGCUGUAAGACUU
RNA transcript from Notolabrus celidotus (New Zealand spotty), 1011 nucleotides. It is a transcript of the gene named folliculogenesis specific bHLH transcription factor, with no coding region annotated. Lineage: Eukaryota; Metazoa; Chordata; Actinopteri; Labriformes; Labridae. The transcript has 6 exons. The record is from RefSeq and is a predicted model, not a curated record.